RNAcentral lists this ribosomal RNA (497 nucleotides) under uncultured bacterium. RNAcentral describes it as "partial 16S ribosomal RNA". It matches the Rfam family "Bacterial small subunit ribosomal RNA", at positions 28 to 507 of the family's 1533-position model. The record is from RNAcentral.
GAUGAACGCUGGCGGCGUGCCUAAUACAUGCAAGUCGAGCGAACAGACGAGGAGCUUGCUCCUCUGACGUUAGCGGCGGACGGGUGAGUAACACGUGGAUAACCUACCUAUAAGACUGGGAUAACUUCGGGAAACCGGAGCUAAUACCGGAUAAUAUAUUGAACCGCAUGGUUCAACAGUGAAAGACGGUUUUGCUGUCACAUAUAGAUGGAUCCGCGGCUCUUUAGCUAGUUGGUAAGGUAACGGCUUACCAAGGCUACGAUGCGUAGCCGACCUGACAGGAUGAUCGGCCACACUUGAACUGAGACACGGACCAGACUCCUACGGGGGGCAGCAGUAGGGGAUCUUCCGCAAUGGGCGAAAGCCUGACGGAGCAACGCCGCUUGAGUGAUGAAGGUCUUCGGACCGUAAAACUCUGUUAUUAGGGAAGAACAAAUGUGUAAGUAACUAUGCACGUCUUGACGGUACCUAAUCAGAAAGCCACGGCUAACUACGUG